UUUUUUUUUUCCAUUCUUAUGGCAUGCGGAAUUUCCUAGGCUAGGGAUUGAACCUGAACAGCUGUAACCAGGGCCACAGCUGUAACCAGGGCCACAACAGUGAAAAUACCAGAUCCUUAACCUGCAGAGCCUGAGGGAACUCCAAACUCCAUGGUUUUUGUCCUUCCCUUUAAAGGUCUGUGGCAGAGGCUCUUGGUGGCACCUGGUUUCCUUCACUGGGGUGCCUCUUUCCUGGUGGCUGAGUGUUGUUGCUAAGGGUUCACAGCUGCUUCCUUCACAGGGCAUUACCCACACCCAGGCACAUACUUCCUUAUUCAAGAAGUCACAAGCCUAUGCUAUCAGCAGAAACUGGUAUCUGGCAGGGGGUAGGGUCAAAUUGAGCCCUUUCAUCUCCAGGGGGACCAACUCUGUGUUCUUCAUGUUCCAGAGAGAGGUCCCUUGAGGACCAGGAUAAGGUUCUGUUUCUUCCCCUGCCUUAUCCUAUUUUCCUCAGUCCCCAGUUCAUGAGCACAUUUUCAAGGAUUUUCCCAAGUGUCCCCAUCUAAGAUUCACUUCUGGUGAUCUUGCUCUAAUGCACUGGGUACGAGAAGAGUCCUAAGAAACACAUGCAAUUCUAGAAAUGGAUCACCUUUUAGCACACAAGCAAGGAUGACUCCAUGGGUAUGUUGUAUGGAGUAUUCCUAAUCUCUGGUGUGCUUCAGCAGUAACUGUCCAUGAAGUGCAGACACUGGCCAGGUCAUCCUUUAGUCCUGGGUAAUAAUAACUAAGAGGAUAGUAACUAAGGACAAUGGCCUUAUGCCUUUGUAGAUUCAUGCCAAUGCUCUAAUGAGGGAAGAUAAUAAAGCCUAAUAUCCCUUACAGGGGAAUUCACAGUGUCUCUCUGGGAGUAUGGAGGACACUUUCCUCCCAAAUUAGCCUCUCCGUGAGUCAGGAGAUAGAUGGGAUCGAGCAUAAACAUUUCCUAUCAGCCACCUAUUUAUACCUGAAGAUAAAAAUGCAAGAACAAUUAAAGAAGUGGGAUUGGACUUUUUGGACACUUAAAGCAAUGAACACGUCAUGGGCAUUUAGGGCCUAAGCCCUGAUUGGGUCAAAGUUAAAGAGGUCACACACUUCCUAUCCUUAGGGCGAAGGAGAACCAACUUCACAUGCACAGAAAGACUCCUCUGGGUCAGAAAGGGAGGGGUCACCAGACCAUAAAAACUUAAGCUAUGUUAGUGCCAGUGGGGAACCCCUCUUGGCCAAAAGAUGUGCACACAUAUUGGGGAGGGCCUGGGUCUGAUCAGGUGUGAAAAUGAAACAAGAACUUUGGCCAAUGGAAAAAAAAGACCCAGACAAACUGCCCUAAGUGUUUUAAAUCACUUCUCUGGGGCAAUCCUCAAUGACGGGGAUGAUUGCAUUCUCACUCCUCCUUUGUGUGUAUCCUACUGCUUUGCCUCUGCCUUAGACAAACAGACAACAUAGCUAAGUGUACUGUGUUUCUAACAAUAAACUCUGUACCUGUUUUCACAGACUUUGCUUGUUUUAAAUAUUCUUUCUUUCAACAGGGGGUGAGAAUCAAAGCAAUUAGUUGGUAGUCCCCAGCUGGUCGAGUGGCUAAUAUUCCUAUUUCAUCCAGGCUUCCCAGCUUCAAUUCCUGAGCAGAGAAUUAAGAUCUCACUUCAGGCCAUCACUCUCUGCUAUUUCUCCAAAAUCAUCAGCAUCCUCAUCCAUCCAGGCCAGAUGUGACCUGAGUUAAACUCAUGUGCAGGAUUCCUGUUUGUACUUAUGGUACAUCCCACAUGUGAAGAUCAUCAACGUUUUUCUAAACCCUUUGAAGCUGGUUAACCCUGUGCAUCUAUCAGCUGGUCUCUAUGAUCUUUCCCUUCUUCCCUUGAGUCAAUUGCCAUGGGGCAAUUCUGAAAAAUCCCAGCUAUUUGCUUAAGAGUGGCUGGGCAGCCUCCUCCUAGGUGCUGUAAAUAUGGUUCCACCCUGAAACCUUUUCACUUUGGGUUAUAUGAAGUGGUUUAGGUUAAGUUUGGAAAGCAUGGAAACUGCAGCCAGAUAGGCAGGCUUCAAAUCCUGGCUCAUUUAACUAUGGCUUAAGGGAAAGUUACUUACCUUCUCUGCAACUCUGUUUACAGAACUUUAAAUGGAGUAAGAGUGUUUCUGCAAUGGCAUCCAUCUCUAAGGGCUGUUGUGAGGAUAAAUAUGUUAAUAAAGGUAAAGUGCUUUGAAUAGUGUCCAGCCAGCGGGAAGUGUCACAUAAUGUUAGCUGUUAUUAUUGCAAGUCAUUACUAUUGAGUCAAUACAGAUUGCAAUCUUCAGUUAGAGAAUGUUCUUUUGAUAAAGCUAUGUUUCAUUCAUCCAUGUAUUAGGCAGAUUGGUCCCUAAGUCUGAAAUCAUCCUGGACUUUGAAGAUAGCAUAGAAAGUAGGAAAAUAUUACAAAGCUAUACUAAAAUUCUAGAUCCUUUCCUACAUUUCUCUUUAUCCUAUAGUUUAUGUCCUAACAUAAGUAGGUAUCUGUUCAAUCACACAUUUAUAACCUUGUAUUAAAGAGCUCUAAUUUUCUUUCUUCUUUUCUCUCUUUCUUUUUUCCCUUUCUUAGGACUGUACACAUGGCAUAUGGAAAUUCCCAGACUAGGGGUUUGUUCACUUCCACUGUGCCACAGUGGGAACUCCUAGAUCCCUAAUUCUCUUGCCUAGAACAAAUGGAUAUUCUCUCAUUCUUAUCCCAUCCAGACAACUUAAAAUAUGGUCUACACCUUGAAACUCCAUCUCCUGGUGGGCCAUUCUUUAUCAAGAAUAUAAGCAAUAUAACACCAUGCACAAAAACAGAAUCAAAAUGGAUUAAACACCAAAAUGUAAGGCCAGAAACUGUAAAAAUCUUGGAGGAAAACAGGCAGAUCACUCUUUGAUAAGUAUGGCAGCAAACCCUUUUUGAUGCACCCUCUAGAAUAAUGAAAAUUAAAACAAAAAUAAAGAAAUUUGGAAUUAC
Molecule: long non-coding RNA, 2975 nt
Filed under: Sus scrofa (pig)
Lineage: Eukaryota; Metazoa; Chordata; Mammalia; Artiodactyla; Suidae
Description: lncRNA (ENSSSCG00015038283.1)
Source: RNAcentral